UUAGGAAUUUUGGGCAAUGGCCGCAAGGCUGACCCAGCAACGCCGCGUGGGGGACGAAGGCCUUCGGGUUGUAAACCCCUUUUCCCGGGGACGAUGAUGACGGUACCCGGGGAAUCAGCCCCGGCUAACUACGUGCCAGCAGCCGCGGUAAUACGUAGGGGGCGAGCGUUGUCCGGAUUCAUUGGGCGUAAAGCGCGGGCAGGCGGCCCGCCCAGUCGGCCGUGAAAGCGCCGGGCUCAACUCGGCGAGGACGGGCGAUACUGGCGGGCUCGAGGCUGGCAGAGGGCGGUGGAAUUCCGGGUGUAGUGGUGGAAUGCGUAGAGCUCCGGAGGAACACCAGUGGCGAAGGCGGCCGCCUGGGCCAGCCCUGACGCUGAACCGCGAAAGCGUGGGGAGCGAUCCG
This 403-nucleotide ribosomal RNA is filed under the name uncultured bacterium. RNAcentral describes it as "bacterial SSU rRNA". It matches the Rfam family "Bacterial small subunit ribosomal RNA", at positions 355 to 775 of the family's 1533-position model. The record is from RNAcentral.